GCGGGGGCGGGAGGGCGGACGGGAACCUCCUUCGGCCCGAAGCCCUUGGCUCCCUCCCGGUCCCUGUGCCUGCGGAAACACGGCUGCGUCCCUCCCGAGGAAGGCUGGAGGCAUCUCCUCUGCUGCUCGGGGGCGCCGCGAGAGGGACCAUUUGUGUAGCUCCGCGCCGCUGCCCCGGGCCGUGGGGUCGCGCUUUUGAUAGCCCGGACCCCGCCCUGGGCAGUUGGCCGCUGGCCUCCGCCCCGAGCUUAGAGGCGAGCGCCGCGGGCACCCCUUGUCCGCUGGCCUUUGGGCAGCUGCGCAGCUUCUUCUCCUAAGGAUAAGGAGGCAGGAUAGCAAGCUGUCAAAGUGGGGCCUCUCCUCGGGCUUGCCCUAGGGAGGAGGGAACUGAGCCACUGCUUUUUGCCUUUAGAAAUGCCCAUCUGGAGCCCAGGGCCUUGCGGGUUAAAGCAGCCCCCGAGCCUCUGCUAGGGACCUUUCCUCCCACCCGGGGGUAACGCGGCGCUGCCUCUAGAGCUGGCCAGUGCAGCGGACCAUGUUUAUUCAGAUGGAUACCUGCGCUGAGAAAAGGGGGUGUAUCCCGAUUUGCUCCGAAUUUUUCCCUUUUACCCCUUCAUGAGACCUGCAACUUGAUGGAAGGAGUUACCAAGGAGCAUCAGCUGUAAAGUGAUGAGAUCUAGGGGAGAAUGACCAGUUUCUAGCAAUUGAGAAAGAUCUCUUAAGGAUAUCCAUCCUGAUCCCUUAAAAGGGGCCUGAUAGAUAAGGAGCUAAAACAUAUUGAGUUGAGAAAUCUUAAGUAAGUCACUUUGGCUUUAGAUUUUUCAUUUGUAAAAUGAAGAAAUUAGAGGAUGAUGUCUGAGGUCUCUUUUUAUGAUAUAAUUCUAAUACUUAGUCAUAAAUUUAAAUAUCUUAACAUCUGCAGAAAAGAGCCUCUAGUUUGUACUUUGUGCCCAAGUUACAAAAGGCAGAAGUGAGGCCCUAGGGAGUGCUGUGACUCUCCCAGGAGGGUGAAUCUCUGGGACUAUAAAAUCCACCUUAAUUUUGUAGUUAUUAGUCAAUAUAUCUAGUGAUCCACAAUCUGGCACUAGGAGAAGCAAUUGCUUCUUGAUAGAAUUUGCAUGCUGUCAUCCCUCUUUGCCUCCUAGAUAUUAAGAGUCUUAGGGAUGAGGGUAACCACAGUAAUUUUUUGCACAAAAGAAAUUAUAUAGCUAACCUCUUGACUUGAGAUCACAUGGCUUUUGACCACUUGUCCAGAAAAUGCUGAGUCAUUUGAGAGCAGCUCCAGCUUUUUUUCUCCUCCCUCCUCAGGGGUACAUGUCCAGUAGUGCUGGCAUGUGAAGCUGUCUAGGCAUGAUAACCAGAGAGCAAUGAAGGAGUCAUGCCAGACAGGCAUAGUAGUGGAAGGAAUUAGCUCUUGAGCUAGGUGGUACUGACCAAAAUGGGGACAGCAGAUGAAAGGCCAAGCCCCAUUUGCUGGGACUUGUUUCAGAUCUAAACAAAGCAUGUUUGCUUAUAAAAGAAAAAAGAACAAGUUUUUAACAGUAAAAAAAAACCAAAAUUUAUAAAUAAUCCUUUAGCUCCAAUGUACUGGGUGCUGGACUUGGUAGUAUCCAUACUAAUAUGACUGAUCCAUAUCUUCCCCAUCAGGGGCGCUGGAGGGCAGUGGUUCUGGAGAAAAUUUGAUGUGACAAGUUUGUUGGCUAGGUCCCAUUUUGAUGCCUAUAUAUAUGUGUUUUUUCUUGAUGGGUCAGAUCUGUAUUGAGUCUUAUGUGUGCUAAAUGAGGCUUCUCUUUGGUGAAUCCAUUUUUUGGAUUGAAAAUAAUCUGACAGGUACCAUGUUUUCUCUUGGGCACACAGCUUUUCUGAACAUAUGUAUCCAUUUUUACCUAUGAUGUAGCAUGGGCUCCUAUGGAAGUUUCCUCAGGUGAAGUGGAGCAGUUUGGGGGAGGGUGAGAUACUGAUGCAAAUGAUAAUGACAUUUUGCUUCUUUAAUUUUUCCACACUUCCUCUUUAAGAAAUGAAUGUUGGGUAAGACUGGAGAGAGGUGGGUGUCUCCUUUCAUUUCCCUCUCUUUUUUUUAAUAUGAAUCCACAUACCAAGAACCCAAUGGUCAGCAUCUUCAUUUGUCACUUAGAAAUUUCUAGUUCCAGAAAAAAUGCUGAGUCACAGGAGAGCAGCUCUCUAGUCUCUGCUAGAAAACUUGGAGAGGUUGACUAGAUUCCUUCUUUGGAAUCAUGUUCUUUGUGAAUCCCCUCUGACCAUGAAAGAGAAUAUCUCUGAAAUGACAGUCUGUUGAAACUUUUCUUUUCAAGAAACAGCAUUGAUGGCAUGGUAGAGAAAUGCCAGAUCUGAGUCCACGUUUCAGUUAUAAUACUGUUAUAGUGGCCUCAUCUGCAUUUAGUGCUUCUUCUUGGCCAUAGAAGGGUACUUAAUUGUGGUCUUGGCUUUUAUUUAGUAACUAGAACUACCUCAGAAACUUCCCUCUCUAAAGGGACUGAAAUACUAUGGGAGUCUACUAGCCUGAAUACCUUUAUUCUCUAGAGAGAAUGGCGUGGUUGUGCUGAGAGCUUGCAUUUAGUCUAUCCUCUUUUCCUCUGUAUUUUAAAAUUAUUUUUUAUUGUCCACACAAAUCAGUAGACAUGAAAGAAAAAAAAUGUAGAUUGUAUAGGAAACUUUGAUGAUAUAAAUUUUAAAUAAUUAUGUGUGGUUUGUUUGGUAUCUUUCAAAUUUAAUAUGAUAAUUUUAGCACCACUCUGCUUUUUUCCUUCUGAACUACUUUCUGUUUUCUUCUAGUAUUUUUCUAAUGAUUCAUUGACUUUUCUUUUUUUAUUAGUAUCACUAUCACUCUUUCUACUCUUUCCAUUACCUCCUUCCAAAACAAAGGGAAAUAAAAGUUCUCCUUUGUAACAUAUUCGCACAUUAGUGUCUGUGGAAAUGCAUGUCUCAUUCUGCACAUCUAGUCCAUUUCACUUCUUUCACAUCAGUCCUUUGGAGUCAAGCUUGAUCAUUAAAUUGAUCAGAGUUCUUAAAUCUUUCCUAGCUAUUUGUCUUUUCAGUGUUGUAGUUAUUGUAUAAAUUUUUCUCUCCCCAUAUCUUUGAUGACUACAGAACCCCUGGAACCAUAACCACAUUCAGAGGAUUGGUGCUAAGCAACUGGCACUGCCUGGCACAGAAUGAUCCUGUUAUGCUGGCCUGAUGGCUAUUGUCAUCCUGGGAAAAAUGCCUCCCCACGUCCUGAAGGACAGGUUCAGAGAAGGGUGGUGGCAGUGUGUGUGUGGGCAUCAGCCUGUCUUUCUUCCCCAAAUUCUAACCCUAGGGGUCUCUCUAAGUAUUGAAGAAGAACCCUGAAAAUAUGAGGCCAGAACUAAUCAGAUCUGUCUCUUCUGCCAUUUGAGAGAGGCAAAACCAGAAUUUAUUUGACAUGAUAGGAAAUUUAGUGAGAGCAUCCUAUCAAAUGAUCUGUACCUGCUGUGAGCAGAGAUUUGGGGGGGACUG
This is a long non-coding RNA of Sarcophilus harrisii (Tasmanian devil), 3495 nucleotides long. RefSeq lists it as uncharacterized. Lineage: Eukaryota; Metazoa; Chordata; Mammalia; Dasyuromorphia; Dasyuridae. The record is from RefSeq and is a predicted model, not a curated record. The transcript has 2 exons.